Molecule: transfer RNA, 76 nt
Filed under: Aeromonas caviae
Lineage: Bacteria; Pseudomonadati; Pseudomonadota; Gammaproteobacteria; Aeromonadales; Aeromonadaceae
Also listed under: 3 other names
Description: tRNA-Val
Rfam family: tRNA
About the family: Transfer RNA (tRNA) molecules are approximately 80 nucleotides in length. Their secondary structure includes four short double-helical elements and three loops (D, anti-codon, and T loops).
Source: RNAcentral
GGUCGUUUAGCUCAGCUGGGAGAGCAUCUCCCUUACAAGGAGGGGGUCACUGGUUCGAGCCCAGUAACGACCACCA